RNAcentral lists this non-coding RNA (102 nucleotides) under uncultured Negativibacillus sp. RNAcentral's name for it is "TPP riboswitch (THI element)". It matches the Rfam family "TPP riboswitch aptamer (THI element)", at positions 8 to 91 of the family's 105-position model. Rfam says of the family: Vitamin B(1) in its active form thiamin pyrophosphate (TPP) is an essential coenzyme that is synthesised by coupling of pyrimidine and thiazole moieties in bacteria. The previously detected thiamin-regulatory element, thi box was extended, resulting in a new, highly conserved RNA secondary structure, the THI element, which is widely distributed in eubacteria and also occurs in some archaea. The record is from RNAcentral. Lineage: Bacteria; Bacillati; Bacillota.
CAAGAAGGGGUGCUGCACCAAGACCAGCGGCUGAGAAUAAGGCGGAUGGGCCUUUAAACCCUGAACCUGAUCCGGGUAAUGCCGGCGGAGGGAUCUGUCAUA